Molecule: long non-coding RNA, 1620 nt
Filed under: Homo sapiens (human)
Lineage: Eukaryota; Metazoa; Chordata; Mammalia; Primates; Hominidae
Description: non-protein coding lnc-MATN2-2:2
Source: RNAcentral
GCAAAAGCGGAGGGCAGCUGCCGGUUGCUAUUGGUACCGCUAGCUAGAAUGGCUGCGGGGGCCGUACGCGGCUGCUCAUACCUUUAAUCCCAGCACUUUCGGAGGUUGAGGCGGGAAGAUCUGUUGCGUCCAGCUCAAGGCCAGCCUGGACAACAUAGACCACCCCUGUCUCUACAAAAAAAUAAAAAAGAAAUAAAAAAGAAAUUAGCCGGGCGUGGUGGCGCGCUCCAGUAGUCCUAGCUACUCCCAGCUACGCCGGAGGCUGAGGCGGAGAGGUCGCUUGAGCUCGGUAGGUCGAGGCUGCAGUGAGCCAUGAUCGCGCCACUGCACUCAGCCUGGGCGACAGAGUGAGACUCUGUCUCAAAGAAGGAAAAAAAAGAAUGACGGCGGGGGUGUUCUUUUCCCCCUCUGCGGGCCUUUAAGCUUCGCGGCGUUGUGUUGCUGUUCUGCUGCGAGCUGCGGUCUAACUAAUCGAGGCGCUUAGAACCCGGAGGGAGUUCGAAAAGCCGACUGAAGGUGAGGUGGGAGGGUAGAUGAGAAGAGGCUGCGGCGGCUGCGACCACGGUCUCAAUGCCGCUGAAUUCAUCUUUGUCCUGAGGCGCGGCUCUUGGAGAGCCUUGUGGGUGACUCCGAUGCGCCGCAGCACCCGCAUUUACUCUCCGCUUGGUAGAAGCAGCUGUGUCCUCACCCCUGCGGUCACCCAAGUUACCUGUCCCCUGGAGAACGGUGGCGCCCUGCUCGAGUUUCCCAAAACUCGCCUUUUGUGACUGUGUUAGCGUGAACUUGUGAGCCGAGUUUGCACUGAGAGCGCGAUAAACAGGUCUAAUUUUUUAAAAGUAUUUUUGCUGUUAACGUUGGAUCUUGGUAUAAAUGUCCAGAGACAGACCACUGAAGAUAUUAGGCGCUGAAAAUCCCCACCUAAUCAAUCAGACCAGUGGAUAAGCUAUAUGAGGGAAACCUCUUCCCCUCCUUAAUUAAGCCUCACCAAAAAACGCGUGCUGUACCAGGAAUCAUUUACAUAUAUUUAUUUAAUACUCACAAAAGUCCCAUGAGAUAGUAACCUUUUUAUUGUCCAUUUUACAUAUCUAGGCCUAUUGUCAGAGCUAGGACCAGAGCCCAGGUAACUUAGGUCUCUUCACAAUUAAAGUUGAUUCAGGCCGAAUGCGGUGACUCACGCCUGUAAUCCAAACAUUUUGGAAGUCCGAGGUGAGCGGAUCACCUGAAGUCAGGAGUUCGAGACCAGUCUGGUCAACAUGGUGAAACCCCACCUCUACUAAAAAUACAAAAAGUAGCCAGGUGUGGUGGCUCCUGCCUGCAAUCCCAACUACUUGGGAGGCUGAAGCAGGAGAAUCGCUUGAACCUGGGAGGCAAAGGUAGCAGUGAGCUGAGAUCGGGCCACUGCACUCCAGCCUGGGCGACAAAGCGAGACUCCCUCUCAAAAAAAGUAAUAAGGCCGGGCGCGGUGGCUCACGCCUGUAAUCCCAACACUUUGGGAGGCCGAGGCGGGAGGAUCACGAGGUCAAAAGAUCGAGACCAUCUUGGCCAACAUGGUGAAACCCUGUGUCUACUAAAAAUACAAAACUUAGCUGGGCUUGGUGGCGCGUGCCUGUAGUCCCAGCU